RNAcentral lists this long non-coding RNA (268 nucleotides) under Hordeum vulgare. RNAcentral's name for it is "long non-coding RNA (HVUL_LNC002362)". Lineage: Eukaryota; Viridiplantae; Streptophyta; Magnoliopsida; Poales; Poaceae. The record is from RNAcentral.
GGACACGUACGCAGAAGAGUCGCUGGACGCAGCUGUCGUAGUACGUUGUACUGACGGCGAGCCUUGACACCGGAGCAACGUGCCGAUCCAUCGACGCCGGCCACCAGCGAGGCAAGGUGCUGCACAGCUGCGUUUCUUCCUCGUUCUCUUCAAGUGUCUUCCUGCUUUUUUCCCCGUCCGCAGUACAACAACCGUGCCAUAGCUCCCUAGCCGUGGCGACAGCGAAAUGACACGAAGAGUGGGUGCAUGGACGACGUGAGAGGGAAAA